AAAGGGAGACCUAAUUCGGGUAUGGGACGAAAAAAAAGUAGUCGCUACCAAGAAUCAAUCCCAAAAGGUCGGAACGAGGUAUGUGGCUUUCAAACUAGGUUCUGGGUUCAUAAAAGACCUGAAUCAGGAACAAGGGCUAUUAGCUCAGGUGGUUAGAGCGCACCCCUGAUAAGGGUGAGGUCCCUGGUUCGAGUCCAGGAUGGCCCACCUGCACAGGUGGUAAAAACAAAGAAAAGAAGCGAGGAAUCAGCACCUUAUCUUACUUAUAUAGUAAGAGAGAAUGCUGGCUCUGAGUAAAGAGUCCAGAGGAACCUUGAAAACUGCAUAGAGCUAGGUGAAAAAGCCAAAAAAGAAGACCGCAAG
This 363-nucleotide transfer RNA is filed under the name uncultured Microcystis sp. RNAcentral's name for it is "partial 16S-23S ribosomal RNA intergenic spacer". The stretch from base 134 to 207 matches the Rfam family "tRNA". The record is from RNAcentral. Lineage: Bacteria; Bacillati; Cyanobacteriota; Cyanophyceae; Chroococcales; Microcystaceae.